UCGCACGAGAAAGUGGAGCAUCCAUGAGUACAGUGGCGUACGGGUGAGUAACACGUGGAUCAUCUACCUCUUGAUGGGGAAUAACCCUGGGAAACCGGGGCUAAUACCGCAUAAGCCUGAAAAGGGAAAGCGUCGUCCUCAAAAACGACGCGUCGAGAGAGGAGUCCGCGGCCGAUUAGCUAGUUGGUAGGGUAAAGGCCUACCAAGGCAAUGAUCGGUAGCCGGCCUGAGAGGGCACACGGCCACACUGGCACUGAAACACGGGCCAGACUCCUACGGGAGGCAGCAGUGGGGAAUCUUGCACAAUGGGGGCAACCCUGAUGCAGCGACGCCGCGUGAGCGAUGAAGCCCUUCGGGGUGUAAAGCUCUUUCGGCAGGAACGAUAAUGACGGUACCUGCAGAAGAAGCUGCGGCUAACUACGUGCCAGCAGCCGCGGUAAUACGUAGGCAGCGAGCGUUGUUCGGAGUUACUGGGCGUAAAGAGUGGGUAGGCGGUUCUCUAAGUUCCGUGUGAAAUCUCCCGGCUCAACUGGGAGGGUGCGCGGAAAACUGGAGGGCUUGAGUAUGGGAGAGGAAAGCGGAAUUCCUGGUGUAGCGGUGAAAUGCGUAGAUAUCGGGAGGAACACCUGCGGUGAAGACAGCUUUCUGGACCAUCACUGACGCUGAGACACGAAAGCGUGGGUAGCAAACAGGAUUAGAUACCCUGGUAGUCCACGCCCUAAACGAUGCAUACUUGGUGUGAGCCGUUCAUUCGGUUCGUGCCGGAGCUAACGCGUUAAGUAUGCCGCCUGGGGAGUACGGUCGCAAGGCUGAAAC
RNAcentral lists this ribosomal RNA (816 nucleotides) under uncultured bacterium. Its description in RNAcentral is "bacterial SSU rRNA". It matches the Rfam family "Bacterial small subunit ribosomal RNA", at positions 62 to 900 of the family's 1533-position model. The record is from RNAcentral.